This 71-nucleotide transfer RNA is filed under the name Bos taurus (domestic cattle). It matches the Rfam family "tRNA". Rfam says of the family: Transfer RNA (tRNA) molecules are approximately 80 nucleotides in length. Their secondary structure includes four short double-helical elements and three loops (D, anti-codon, and T loops). Lineage: Eukaryota; Metazoa; Chordata; Mammalia; Artiodactyla; Bovidae. The record is from Rfam by way of RNAcentral. RNAcentral also lists the same sequence under 1 other name.
UCCUGGUGGCUCAGAUGGUAAAGCAUCUGCCUGCAAUGCGGGAGACCUGGGUUCGAUUCCUGGGUCGGGAA